GGUUCGAUCCUGGCUCAGAUUGAACGCUGGCGGGAUGCUUUACACAUGCAAGUCGAACGGCAGCACGGACUUCGGUCUGGUGGCGAGUGGCGAACGGGGUGAGUAAUGUAUCGGAACGUGCCUAGUAGCGGGGGAUAACUACGCGAAAGCGUAAAGCAAUACCGCAUACGCCCUUCGGGGGAAAGCGGGGACCUUCGGGCCUCGCACUAUUAGGGAGCGGCUGAUAUCGGAUUAGCUAGUUGGUGGGGUGCAACGGCUCACCAAGGCGACGAUCCGUAGCUGGUUUGAGAGGACGACCAGCCACACUGGGACUGAGACACGGCCCAGACUCCUACGGGAGGCAGCAGUGGGGAAUUUUUGGACAAUGGGGGAAACCCUGAUCCAGCCAUCCCGCGUGCGAUGAAGGCCUUCGGGCUGUAAAGCACUUUGGCAGGAGAAACGGCACGGGAUAAUACCCCGUGCAACUGACGGUACCUGUAGAAUAAGCACCGGCUAACUACGUGCCAGCAGCCGCGGUAAUACGUAGGGUGCAAGCGUUAAUCGGAAUUACUGGCGGAAGCGUGCGCAGGUUCUUGAAAGAAAGAUGUGAAAUCCCAGCUAACUUUUGAACUGCAUUUUUAACUACCGAGCUAGAGUGUGUCAGAGGGAGGUGGAAUUCGCGUGUAGCAGUGAAAUGCGUAGAGUGCGGAGGAACACCGAUGGCGAAGGCAGCCUCCUGGGAUAACACUGACGCUCAUGCACGAAAGCGUGGGGAACAAACAGGAUUAGAUACCCUGGUAGUCCACGCCCUAAACGAUGUCAACUAGCUGUUGGGGCCUUCGGGCCUUGGUAGCGCAGCUAACGCGUGAAGUUGACCGCCUGGGGAGUACGGUCGCAAGAUUAAAACUCAAAGGAAUUGACGGGGACCCGCACAAGCGGUGGAUGAUGUGGAUUAAUUCGAUGCAACGCGAAAAACCUUACCUACCCUUGACAUGUCUGGAAUCCCGAAGAGAUUUGGGAGUGCUCGCAAGAGAACCGGAACACAGGUGCUGCAUGGCUGUCGUCAGCUCGUGUCGUGAGAUGUUGGGUUAAGUCCCGCAACGAGCGCAACCCUUGUCAUUAGUUGUUACGAAAGGGCACUUUAAUGAGACUGCCGGUGACAACAAACCGGAGGAAGGUGGGGAUGACGUCAAGUCUCCGCGGUCUCUUAUGGGUAGGGCUUCACACGUCAUACAAUGGUCGGGACAGGGUCGCCAACCCGCGAGGGGGAGCCAGAUCCCCAGAAACCCGAUCGUAGUCCGGAUUCUGCAGUCUGCAACUCGACUGCGUGAAGUCGGAAUCGCUAGUAAUCGCGGAUCAGCAUGUCGCGGUGAAUACGUUCCCGGGUCUUGUACACACUGCCCGUCACACCAUGGGAGUGGGUUUUACCAGAAGUAGUUAGCCUAACCGUGGCGAGGGCGAUUACCACGGUAGAUUCAUGACUGGGGUGAAGUCGUAACAAGGUA
RNAcentral lists this ribosomal RNA (1484 nucleotides) under uncultured Bordetella sp. RNAcentral's name for it is "partial 16S-23S ribosomal RNA intergenic spacer". It matches the Rfam family "Bacterial small subunit ribosomal RNA". Lineage: Bacteria; Pseudomonadati; Pseudomonadota; Betaproteobacteria; Burkholderiales; Alcaligenaceae. The record is from RNAcentral.